This is a long non-coding RNA of Coccinella septempunctata (seven-spotted ladybird), 430 nucleotides long. RefSeq lists it as uncharacterized. Lineage: Eukaryota; Metazoa; Arthropoda; Insecta; Coleoptera; Coccinellidae. The record is from RefSeq and is a predicted model, not a curated record. The transcript is spliced from 2 exons.
UAUAUAUAGCAACAUACUAAAUAUGUACGCCCGACAAAAUAUUAAAUUCAGGUAGUUUUUUUUUUUGUUUUAGGUGUAAUUUAAUUUUAUUUAAGAAAUAUUGAUGUUCAAAGUAGAAUAGUUAGUUUGUCCAAUAUUUGUCCAGUUCGUGAGAUUUUUUGAAUUCUCUGUUCAACGGUAUUUUCAUGUUUCUCUUCUUAUGAAAGCGAUGACGGAGGCGCAUUUCUUUUCCGUUCAGAUGUACUAUAAUAAUAAAUAUUCAACAAUAUGAAAUUCAGUAUGAAUUUGACGACGGGAAGGAGUGUGUCGCUGUCACCUGUUUUACCUACAUGUUAUUGCGAUCUUUUUGUCAUGGACUAGAGGAACACAGUUGAAUUCUAGAGCUUGAGAAAGCAACAAUAAAGUUGCGAAACGUCGCUCAUAGAAGAAG